Molecule: transfer RNA, 66 nt
Filed under: Coptotermes kalshoveni
Lineage: Eukaryota; Metazoa; Arthropoda; Insecta; Blattodea; Rhinotermitidae
Description: tRNA-Arg
Source: RNAcentral
AAGUGAGAAGCAACCUCUUGCAAUUAGUUUCGACCUAAUCUUAGAUAGUAAAUCUAUCCUCACUCU